This 56-nucleotide microRNA precursor is filed under the name Ciona intestinalis (vase tunicate). RNAcentral describes it as "microRNA cin-mir-4182 precursor". The record is from miRBase by way of RNAcentral. Lineage: Eukaryota; Metazoa; Chordata; Ascidiacea; Phlebobranchia; Cionidae.
CAUAAUGGAGGUUUUUUACUAGUGCCAAAAAUACUGGUCAAAAAAUCUGCAGAAUG